UCAUAUGCUUGUCUCAAAGAUUAAGCCAUGCAUGUCUAAGUACAUACCGCAUUAAGGUGAAAACCGCGAAAGGCUCAUUAAAUCAGUUAUGGUUCCUUAGAUCGUACCAAUCCUACUUGGAUAACUGUGGUAAUUCUAGAGCUAAUACAUGCCGAUAAUGCUCCGACCACUCGCCCGGGACGAGCGCUUUUAUUAGAACAAGACCAAUACGGGCCACUCGAAACCAGCGGGUCAAACCGUUGGCGUAGAACCCGUCAAAAAACUUGGUGACUCUGGAUAACUUUGAGCUGAUCGCACGGUCCUCGCACCGGCGACGCAUCUUUCAAAUGUCUGACUUAUCAACUGUCGAUGGUAGGUUAUGUGCCUACCAUGGUUAUAACGGGUAACGGAGAAUCAGGGUUCGAUUCCGGAGAGGGAGCCUGAGAAACGGCUACCACAUCCAAGGAAGGCAGCAGGCACGCAAAUUACCCACUCCCGGCACGGGGAGGUAGUGACGAAAAAUAACAAUACGAGACUCUUCCGAGGCCUCGUAAUUGGAAUGAGCACAUUUUAAAACCUUUAGCGAGGAUCUAUUGGAGGGCAAGUCUGGUGCCAGCAGCCGCGGUAAUUCCAGCUCCAAUAGCGUAUAUUAAAGUUGUUGCGGUUAAAAAGCUCGUAGUUGGAUUUCGGUGCCGUAUGUUUCGGUCCGACCUUCGCUUGUCGGUACACUGAACAUUCACGGAGCCAUUAACCCCGCCGGCCUUUGUCCCUCGAUGCUCUUCACCGGGUGUCGUGCGGAGACCGGAACGUUUACUUUGAACAAAUUAGAGUGCUCAAGGCAGGCGCAGUCCCCGCCCGCAUAGCCCAGCAUGGAAUAAUGGAAUAAGACCCCGGUUCUAUUUUGUUGGUUUUCGGAACACGAGGUAAUGAUUAAUAGGGACUGACGGGGGCAUUCGUAUUGCGGCGCUAGAGGUGAAAUUCUUGGACCGUCGCAAGACGAACUACUGCGAAAGCAUUUGCCAAGAAUGUUUUCAUUGAUCAAGAACGAAAGUUAGAGGUUCGAAGGCGAUCAGAUACCGCCCUAGUUCUAACCAUAAACGAUGCCAACCAGCGAUCCGCCGGAGUUCCUCCGAUGACUCGGCGGGCAGCUUCCCGGGAAACCACAAGUUUUUGGGUUCCGGGGGAAGUAUGGUUGCAAAGCUGAAACUUAAAGGAAUUGACGGAAGGGCACCACCAGGAGUGGAGCCUGCGGCUUAAUUUGACUCAACACGGGAAAUCUCACCCGGCCCGGACACUGGAAGGAUUGACAGAUUGAGAGCUCUUUCUUGAUUCGGUGGAUGGUGGUGCAUGGCCGUUCUUAGUUGGUGGACCGUUGAUCUGUCUGGUUGAUUCCGAUAACGAACGAGACUCUAGCCUGCUAAAUAGCUGGCCCAUACCAUCGGUGCGCCGUUACCGUGCCUUCGCGAACCGCGGUUAGGUGCCGUGGCGUUUUUCACUCCCGAACCAAUGCUUGUUUCUUUUAUGUCGUAGCCUUAUGUGGUUGGCCCCCGUUGGCUGUACGUUCAUCUUUACUGGUCGUUGCGGUUGCUUUUUCCCCUUCUGAUCAUUUCAUUUUGCUUUUUCUACCGAAGAGCGGGGGUUUAUUUUCUUCGUGGCGGGCGUUUCGGCGUCUUGNUGCGGGGAGGUGAAUCCUUUGCUUUAGGUGUUGGGCAUUGUGUGUGGUCUUGAGGUGUUGGGUGAUCGUGCGAUUAUAAGGAAGUGGACUNCGGUUUUUCGGGUAAGUUUUUCCGCCGGGUGAAAGCGUUUGAGGGACCUUGGUGUAGGGUUUGUUGGCGUUGCGUGCUACCCCGUGGGGAUGUUGGUGCGAGGCGGCCUCCGGAGUGGGUCAAACGCUUCUUAGAGGGACAAGCGGCGUAUAGCCGCGCGAGAUUGAGCAAUAACAGGUCUGUGAUGCCCUUAGAUGUCCGGGGCCGCACGCGCGCUACAAUGAAACGGUGAGCAGGUCCCCUGCCCUAGUCCGAGAGGACCGGGUAACCCUGUGAAUUCCUUUCAUGGUUGGGAUCGGGGCUUGAAACCAACCCCGUGAACUAGGAAUUCCCAGUAGGCGCGAGUCAUCAACUCGCGCCGAUUACGUCCCUGCCCUUUGUACACACCGCCCGUCGCUACUACCGAUUGGAUGUUGUAGCAAGGUCUUUGGACUGGCAAUCGUGACGGCGUUCGCGUCGUUGUGGUAUGCCGGAAAGAUGACCAAACUAUAUCAUCUAGAGGAAGUAAAAGUCGUAACAAGGUUUCC
RNAcentral lists this ribosomal RNA (2272 nucleotides) under Henicops maculatus. RNAcentral's name for it is "SSU rRNA". It matches the Rfam family "Eukaryotic small subunit ribosomal RNA". Lineage: Eukaryota; Metazoa; Arthropoda; Chilopoda; Lithobiomorpha; Henicopidae. The record is from RNAcentral.